AUACGUAGGGUGCGAGCGUUGUCCGGAAUUACUGGGCGUAAAGAGCUCGUAGGUGGUUUGUCGCGUCGUCUGUGAAAUUCCGGGGCUUAACUCCGGGCGUGCAGGCGAUACGGGCAUAACUUGAGUACUGUAGGGGAGACUGGAAUUCCUGGUGUAGCGGUGAAAUGCGCAGAUAUCAGGAGGAACACCGGUGGCGAAGGCGGGUCUCUGGUCAGUAACUGACGCUGAGGAGCGAAAGCAUGGGUAGCGAACAGGAUUAGAUACCCUGGUAGUCCAUGCCGUAAACGGUGGGCGCUAGGUGUAGGGGUCUUCCACGACUUCUGUGCCGUAGCUAACGCAUUAAGCGCCCCGCCUGGGGAGUACGGCCGCAAGGCUAAAACUCAAAUGAAUUGACGGGG
This 398-nucleotide ribosomal RNA is filed under the name uncultured bacterium. RNAcentral's name for it is "partial 16S ribosomal RNA". It matches the Rfam family "Bacterial small subunit ribosomal RNA", at positions 523 to 918 of the family's 1533-position model. The record is from RNAcentral.